CAGCUAUGAAGGAAAGGGAAAAACAGAAAACGAAUUUCAGUUGUGUUGGAUUUCUUGGUUUGCUGUUUCAUAGGUUAUACAGCUGGAAAGAACAAAACACUGAAGAAAAGAAGGUGCAUUGGCACUGGAUUGGACACAUCCUACGGCAACUGUUCUACUGUUCUAAGAGCUAACCAGACCAUUAGAGCUGCACUGCCUCAGGAUAUCCUUUUAAAAUAUCCAUAAAGGUUAAAAGAUUGUAGUAUUUCCUCCCACUGCAAUGGUACAGGGACUUGGCUAUACUGAUGUCAUUGAUGUACACCAAGAACAGGAAGCCUAACAACAAACC
This is a non-coding RNA of Chiloscyllium plagiosum (whitespotted bambooshark), 328 nucleotides long. The record is from RefSeq and is a predicted model, not a curated record. Lineage: Eukaryota; Metazoa; Chordata; Chondrichthyes; Orectolobiformes; Hemiscylliidae.